AUUGAACGCUGGCGGCAUGCUUUACACAUGCAAGUCGAACGGCAGCGCGGGCUUCGGCCUGGCGGCGAGUGGCGAACGGGUGAGUAAUACAUCGGAACGUGCCCAGUAGUGGGGGAUAGCUCGGCGAAAGCCGGAUUAAUACCGCAUACGACCUGAGGGUGAAAGCGGGGGAUCUUCGGACCUCGCGCUAUUGGAGCGGCCGAUGGCAGAUUAGCUAGUUGGUGGGGUAACGGCCUACCAAGGCGACGAUCUGUAGCUGGUCUGAGAGGACGACCAGCCACACUGGGACUGAGACACGGCCCAGACUCCUACGGGAGGCAGCAGUGGGGAAUUUUGGACAAUGGGCGAAAGCCUGAUCCAGCAAUGCCGCGUGUGUGAUGAAGGCCUUCGGGUUGUAAAGCACUUUUGGCGGGAACGAAAAGGACUGUGCCAAUACCACGGUUCGAUGACGGUACCCGCAGAAUAAGCACCGGCUAACUACGUG
This 484-nucleotide ribosomal RNA is filed under the name uncultured bacterium. Its description in RNAcentral is "partial 16S ribosomal RNA". It matches the Rfam family "Bacterial small subunit ribosomal RNA", at positions 29 to 507 of the family's 1533-position model. The record is from RNAcentral.